RNAcentral lists this ribosomal RNA (175 nucleotides) under uncultured bacterium. RNAcentral describes it as "partial 16S ribosomal RNA". It matches the Rfam family "Bacterial small subunit ribosomal RNA", at positions 118 to 292 of the family's 1533-position model. The record is from RNAcentral.
UGAGUAACCUGCCCUUAACUCUGGGAUAAGCCUGGGAAACUGGGUCUAAUACCGGAUAUGACUCCUCAUCGCAUGGUGGGGGGUGGAAAGCUUUAUUGUGGUUUUGGAUGGACUCGCGGCCUAUCAGCUUGUUGGUGAGGUAAUGGCUCACCAAGGCGACGACGGGUAGCCGGCC